This 441-nucleotide ribosomal RNA is filed under the name uncultured bacterium. RNAcentral describes it as "partial 16S ribosomal RNA". It matches the Rfam family "Bacterial small subunit ribosomal RNA", at positions 338 to 795 of the family's 1533-position model. The record is from RNAcentral.
CCUACGGGUGGCAGCAGUGGGGAAUAUUGGGCAAUGGAGGCAACUCUGACCCAGCAACGCCGCGUGAGCGAUGAAGGUCUUCGGAUUGUAAAGCUCUGUCGCAGGGGACGAAGGAUGACGGUACUCUGUAAGAAAGCAUCGGCAAACUACGUGCCAGCAGCCGCGGUAAUACGUAGGGGGCUAGCGUUGUCCGGAAUUACUGGGCGUAAAGGGAGUGUAGACGGCUUGUCAAGUUAAGUGUGAAAGCCUGGGGCUUAACCGCAGAAUUGCACUUAAAACUGACGCGCUAGAGUGCAGGAGAGGAGAGUGGAAUUCCUGGUGUAGGGGUGGAAUGCGUAGAUAUUAGGAGGAACACCAGAGGCGAAGGCGACUCACUGGACUGUAACUGACGUUGAGGCUCGAAAGCGUGGGUAGCAAACAGGAUUAGAUACCCGAGUAGUC